This 465-nucleotide ribosomal RNA is filed under the name Vreelandella stevensii. RNAcentral's name for it is "partial 16S ribosomal RNA". It matches the Rfam family "Bacterial small subunit ribosomal RNA", at positions 338 to 795 of the family's 1533-position model. The record is from RNAcentral. Lineage: Bacteria; Pseudomonadati; Pseudomonadota; Gammaproteobacteria; Oceanospirillales; Halomonadaceae.
CCUACGGGUGGCUGCAGUGGGGAAUAUUGGACAAUGGGGGCAACCCUGAUCCAGCCAUGCCGCGUGUGUGAAGAAGGCCCUCGGGUUGUAAAGCACUUUCAGUGAGGAAGAACGCCUGGUGGUUAAUACCCAUCAGGAAAGACAUCACUCACAGAAGAAGCACCGGCUAACUCCGUGCCAGCAGCCGCGGUAAUACGGAGGGUGCGAGCGUUAAUCGGAAUUACUGGGCGUAAAGCGCGCGUAGGUGGCUUGAUAAGCCGGUUGUGAAAGCCCCGGGCUCAACCUGGGAACGGCAUCCGGAACUGUCAAGCUAGAGUGCAGGAGAGGAAGGUAGAAUUCCCGGUGUAGCGGUGAAAUGCGUAGAGAGCGGGAGGAAUACCAGUGGCGAAGGCGGCCUUCUGGACUGACACUGACACUGAGGUGCGAAAGCGUGGGUAGCAAACAGGAUUAGAUACCCUGGUAGUC